CUCCUGUGCACCCCUCUCCCUGCCCCCUUCGGCGGGCUUCCGCUCCAACCGUUCCCCGCGGAGUAACACUGGAACCUGCCCCCCGGGAGCUGCACUUCCGGUCACUGGCGCCGCCUUCCCCUGAACUUCCGAAUGCAGCUGUCCUGUAAGAAGUGAAAGGUCUUAAUCUGAUCCAGGAGCUGAGGCCAGCGAUUUAAAGUUUCCAUCUGUCUCUGCCUGUAACACAUGCAGGGAGGAAAAGAGGGCUUGCUUUCAAGAAGCAGCAAGUGCCUGGAGGAUGCAAGACGGGUGCAGAGAAAAAUCUCAGGUCUGGGGCAGUUUUGCCAGCAGGAGGAAGAUUCUGUUGUCCUGCUUGGAGUUUCUGUACUGGCAUCUCGUGUUCCUUAGAUUUCCUACAGCUCGGAUGUUUCACUGGCUCCAACAUCAUUUUACAAUGCAAACCUGACAGCCUGUUUUUCUCUUCCAACUGUGCAGGGUGCAAUGCAUCUUCACAAUGGACCCAAUCCAGCAGGUGCUGAUUCAGACAAAAGCCCCAUGUAAAACAAGAGGGGUGGCUUAAUGAUCUGAGAACAGAACUGGGAGCCAGGAGUCACUGAUUCCAAAUCCCAGCUGUUCCACUGACUCACUUUUCAGCCUUGAGCAAGUCCCUUCACCUCCAUUUACUGUCUGUAAAAUGAGGAUAGUACUUUUCUGCAUCACGGGGAGAUUGUGAAGAUUACUUAGUAAUGGAUGUAAAACUCCACAUAAGAGUUAAGCAUUAUUUUUAUUGGUCCAAACCUGGUUUUCUUAUUCAGCCUUUGUGUGGGUAAAUCUUCCAUUGAUUUCAGUGGGAGUUUUAUGAAGAACUGAGUAAGCAGGGCAAGAUCCCACCCAGACACGAUAGGAAUGCUGAACUCUAAUAUUGCACCCGUCAUCUGCAAAGCACUGAGAUUCUGUUCUGAGAAAGACAGAUAUUAAAAAUUACACAGGGCGAUAUUGUGACAUACACUUUCAAGCAAAAUUCUCAGUUGAAUCAAUAGGGAGUUCUAGUUAAAAAACUCAAUACCAUGAUAUAAUAUCUAACGCUUAUAUAGUACUUUUCAUCAGUUGAUCUCAAGGCAUGUAAGCAGUAAGGCGGUAAGUAUCAUCCCCGCAACUGAGGCUCAGAGAGGUCAUCACAUGGCUAUGUCACCUAGCAUGCUGAUGUCAGCUCUGGGAUUAGAACUCAGACCUGCUGAAGCCCAGCCCAGUGCACUAGGCAACACUACCUCCCCAAUGAAGAUGGGCUAUGGAGUAGUCCAGAGAAAAGUACAUCAUUGUUACAGGAUUUUCUUUUUUUUUCCAAAAUAAAUAAGACUGACUGUCUGUGAAAAAUUAAACAAGAAUUUCUGAUAAAUGUAACUUAUUAAAAAUACAAUGUGUUGACCUGAGUGUAAUUAGCUUCCAUCCAACACUCCCAGGAGAGCUAGAGAUCUUUCUGCUAAGAUCAUGAUCAGCCAUGAACUAGUUAACAAUGUUGACACCUAAACUGUCAUAAUUAGACUUCAGCAUUAUCACUGCACUGUGAAACAUGGGGGCAGUAGUUCACAUGUCCCUUAGAGCCACCGGGCUCAAUUCUGCUCUCAGUUACAACAGGGUCAACCCGGAGCAGCUCCACUGGUGCCAUCUCCAUUGAAGUCACUGAUAUCUCUUUAGCUCAGUAUAACCUCAAGUUGUUUUGCGUGUCUGUAGAUCCAGCACCUUUCUUUCCGUUACCUAGGUGCUCUGUGUCUGUAUCAGUGUAAGUAGUUAAUAGAUGGCACUGGGUUUUGUGGAACCAAUAAAGCUGAUGUACACUGCAAA
This is a long non-coding RNA of Dermochelys coriacea (leatherback sea turtle), 1821 nucleotides long. RefSeq lists it as uncharacterized. NCBI's taxonomy places the organism in Eukaryota, Metazoa, Chordata, Testudines, Dermochelyidae. The transcript is spliced from 2 exons. The record is from RefSeq and is a predicted model, not a curated record.